Molecule: non-coding RNA, 476 nt
Organism: Trematomus bernacchii (emerald rockcod)
Lineage: Eukaryota; Metazoa; Chordata; Actinopteri; Perciformes; Nototheniidae
Source: the annotation of a RefSeq genome assembly
ACUGCACAGCAUCCACCAGAGGGAGUCUCUCUCUGUCAGACUUCAGCAGAGUUUAUCAGUCCUCUUUAUACUCGCUGUAGCUCAGAGUUUCUCAACCUGCAGAUAUGAUGCAUCUGAUUAUCUCAGUGUUGCUGGCUGCUAUGAGUCUUGAAUGCAGAGCCCAAAGAGACAACGUGCUGCAACCUGAAGCAGAAAAGACUGCUACUAAAGGAGAGGCAGUAACGCUUGGCUGUCACUAUAACACCACUUCAUCAAAUGACUAUCUCUUCUGGUACAAACAGCUCGGAGACAACAGCCCCACAUUCAUCCUGAGCCGCUUUAAGAUCGGCACGGGGAAAACAGAGGACGAGGACAGAUUCUCAUCCACAUUGGAUUCAAGCUUAAGAUCCGUUCCUCUGAAGAUCCAGAAGCUUCAGCUGUCUGACUCUGCUGUGUACUACUGUGCUCUGCAGCUCCACCAGGUGCCAGACUCCUGA